GGUUCUAUGGUAUAGUGGUGAGGUCAUUGGACUCUCAAUCCAGUAACCCGAGUUCAAAUCUCGGUGGAACCU
Molecule: non-coding RNA, 72 nt
Organism: Picea glauca (white spruce)
Lineage: Eukaryota; Viridiplantae; Streptophyta; Pinopsida; Pinales; Pinaceae
Source: Rfam